Molecule: ribosomal RNA, 253 nt
Filed under: uncultured bacterium
Lineage: Bacteria
Description: partial 16S ribosomal RNA
Rfam family: Bacterial small subunit ribosomal RNA
Source: RNAcentral
UACAGAGGUCUCAAGCGUUGUUCGGAUUCAUUGGGCGUAAAGGGUGCGUAGGCUGCGGGGCAAGUCGGGUGUGAAAUCUCAGAGCUCAACUCUGAAACUGCACUCGAUACUGCUUUGCUUGAGGACUGGAGAGGAGAUUGGAAUUCACGGUGUAGCAGUGAAAUGCGUAGAUAUCGUGAGGAAGACCAGUGGCGAAGGCGGAUCUCUGGACAGUUCCUGACGCUGAGGCGCGAAGGCCAGGGGAGCAAACGGG